Molecule: long non-coding RNA, 829 nt
Organism: Eriocheir sinensis (Chinese mitten crab)
Lineage: Eukaryota; Metazoa; Arthropoda; Malacostraca; Decapoda; Varunidae
Exons: 3
Source: RefSeq, a predicted model, not a curated record
UGAACACCCAAGGGCUUGGACGAGUGUCCAAAGAACCUCAUCUCUACAAGACUGCACUGUGGGUAAAAACUACUUCAGCAAGGACUCAUCGGUGACGUCACGUAACCCUCGUUCACCUCAGAGCGUGCGCGUCGUACCCGCGGCUGGAUGUGUCUGUGGUCUAGUGCGCGUGUGUGCCCCGGCGGCGUAACGUGUGUGCCCUGCGGUGAUGGUGCGCUGUGUGCCGUGAUCGGGGCAUCGCGAGAGGGCAUCCGCCCCGUCACUACAUUGAAGGACGUGGGAAAAUUAAUUGCCAGCCGAUCGUCCGUCCCAGAGGAGUGGUAAGGUGGAUGGUGUAAAUGAGAGGUGACUACUAGGGUGACGCACGUGACGGAAAGCUGGCCAUGUCCCCCUCCACGACCUGCCUUGAUGAGUCCACCCGCUUGGCCCCGCGCUGUUCUCCUCUUUUAUUGCGAGGGGGAGAGAUGGAUGCUGGGCUCUUGUUCAUGAUAAGUGAAUAACCCAAAGCAGGAAUGAAAAGGAAAGAAGGGGAACAACAAAAAAAAAAAGGAAGCUUGUCGUGUUCUCUCCAUGACCUGCCUUGUUGAGUCCACCCGCUUGGUCCCGCGCUGUUCUCCUCUUUUAUUGCGAGGGGGAGAGAUGGAUGCUGGGCUCUUGUUCAUGAUGAGUAAAUAACCCAAAGCAGAAAUGAAAAGGAAAGGAGGGGACGAAAAAAAGGAAGCUUACCCUGUCCCUUACCUUACACUUUUUCCUUAUAUUAGACGUGGAUAAAUGGAUCUCUCGUUCGCAAUGUAGAGCUAAAAUUUAAAAGAGAAGAAAGAAUACAAAA